RNAcentral lists this long non-coding RNA (2114 nucleotides) under Homo sapiens (human). RNAcentral's name for it is "HSALNT0358926". Lineage: Eukaryota; Metazoa; Chordata; Mammalia; Primates; Hominidae. The record is from RNAcentral.
AGAAAAUGCAGGUAAAUGAGAAAACAAAACAGAUAAAGUUCCUGCAGAGGGAACAGGAAAUGAGUGAAAAGGAUUUACGACUACCCGUCUUCUCUCAGACUCUGCUCCUGGGAUGUAACAUUCAUUGCUUGCUAUGUCUAUACCUCACUACAUGCAAUGCACCUUUAGAAGACUGUCUCCUUACUCCAUAAUGGAAUUUGUCUCUGACCUAUUGCAGCUAUGAGAUAAGCAUUACCUGCCCCAGAGGCUACCUGCCACUCAGUGAAGAUCAUAUGCCUAAGUCAUGACAUCAACAUCAAACUCUCUUCAAAUCUGGGAGAAAGGCUCAGCUCUUACAACCAGGACAAGAAGAAAUGACACCAGUAGAGAGAUCAUUUGGUCUGUCUAGAGAUGUGGUUGGCAGAUUUAUGACCCCCAAAGAUGUCUACAUCCUAAACCCAGGAAUCUGUGAGUAUGUUACCUUACAUGCAAAAGGGACUUUGCAGAAGAGAUUAAUACCUUGAGAUGGGAAUAUUAUUCUGGAUUAUCUGGGUGGGUCAGAUUUAAUCUUACAAUUCCUUUAAAGUGAAAGACAAGGAAGAGGCAGGGUGAAUCUGAGCAAUGUGAGAAGAACGUGCUGACUUUGAAGAAUGAGGAAGUAGAUCAUGAGCCAAAGACUGCAGUAGCCUCUAGAACCUGGGGACUGCCAGCAGCUUACAGCCAGCGAGAACACAGGGACCCAGGGCUGCAACAGCAAAGAAUGGAAUUCUGUCAAUAACCAAAUGGGCAAGGAAACAGACUCUUUCUUAGAGUAUCCCAAAAUAAAGGCAGCCCCAUGCACACCUUUAUUUUAGCUCAGGAAUACCUGUGUCAGAUUUCUGACCUACAGAACUGUAAGACACUAAGUUUGUGUUGUAUUAGCAGCUGAAAUUGUUGCAUUUUGUUACAGUAGCAAUGGAAAACUAAUACAAGAGGGUAAGCUAAGUUGGUUUGCAAAUUUGUAGAUGCACUGACUGAAUGCCAGCAAUUGAUACACCAAAGUUAAUAAAAUUCUGGGACUUUUAUCAAAACCAAGGCAAAGAGGAUAGCAUGAGCUACAAAUGCUAAUUGGGUGGUAAAACAUCCUUAACUUUACCUUCAGUCUUAUUUGUCUUUACUGAAACAUAGUAAGGGAAGAUGGGCAGGUCUGUGCAAGGACAGUGGCCCAGUCACUUAGGAGAGACAGUUAGUGCUUACAUACCUGUGGGACCUGCAUAGGGUCUCACUCAGAGUUUGAAGCAAAUAUCAGAAAAUGUCAUCCUUAAAAUUUAAGAAAGAGAAGAGAAUUAAUUAUCACAUUUAUUCCACAAAGGUGCAGAUACUGUACAAGGUGGCUUAUGAAUAUCAUCUUAUUUAAUCUUCACAGCAAUACCAGAAAACCAGGACUACUUUGUCCAUUCUAUCUACUGCAGAGAAAAUGAGACUCGGGAAGAUCCAGUAACUUCCCAGAGGCUACAGGGAAAAUAAGAUCUGCCUGAUUUCAAAGUGGUCAAGGGUGAAAUUAAUGGAUUUAACAAACAAAGCAAACAAACAAAUUUUCCUUAAAAGGCAUCCAAAAAUCUUUAUCCUGAAUUUAUGAGCACCAAACACCUUUCCAGGAUGUAAUUUUACCUGCUUUAGGAAACUGAUGUCCUGCCAGGUUUACUGCUGCCGUAAGUGAAUAACACUAUUUAGUGGUACCUAAUGCAUGCCAAGCAGAGAUUUGUGUUUGACCUAUUAUUCCCCAUUCUCACAAUAAUUAUAUUAGGUAGGUAAUCUCUCCAUUUUCCAAAUGAGGAAACUAAAAUUCAUAAAGAAUAAAGCCUUUCCCAAAGUUAAUAAACUAAUAAAUGGCAAUGCCAACAUUUCAAUUCUUGACUGUCUGAUGCAAACAUAUGUUACCUCCAGAGUUGGGGACCUAUGAGUCUGGCUAGUGUGAACUUCCUCUAUACAACCUCUGAACUCUGGAAGGACUGACAGAUUCAACUGACAAAUUCAACAUCUGUCACUCACAUCUGCUGUGAUGACCACACACCAAGGUUCAUUCAACCAUUCUGUAAAGUCCUAUUGGAAAGAAUCAGGCAAUCAAGAUUCCUAUCACCUCACCUUCCACAAGA